Molecule: unclassified non-coding RNA, 345 nt
Filed under: soil metagenome
Description: partial contains 5.8S ribosomal RNA, internal transcribed spacer 2, and large subunit ribosomal RNA
Rfam family: 5.8S ribosomal RNA (bases 1-120)
Source: RNAcentral
GAUGAAGAACGCAGCGAAAUGCGAUACGUAAUGUGAAUUGCAGAAUUCAGUGAAUCAUCGAGUCUUUGAACGCACAUUGCGCCCCCUGGUAUUCCGGGGGGCAUGCCUGUCCGAGCGUCAUUGCUGCCCUCAAGCACGGCUUGUGUGUUGGGCCUCCGUCCUCCUCCCGGGGGACGGGCCCGAAAGGCAGCGGCGGCACCGCGUCCGGUCCUCGAGCGUAUGGGGCUUCGUCACCCGCUCUUGUAGGCCCGGUCGGCGCUUGCCGACACAUCAAUCUUUUUUCCAGGUUGACCUCGGAUCAGGUAGGGAUACCCGCUGAACUUAAGCAUAUCAAUAAGCGGAGGG